RNAcentral lists this ribosomal RNA (301 nucleotides) under uncultured bacterium. Its description in RNAcentral is "partial 16S ribosomal RNA". It matches the Rfam family "Bacterial small subunit ribosomal RNA", at positions 509 to 808 of the family's 1533-position model. The record is from RNAcentral.
CAGUAGCCGCGGGAAUACGAAGGGUGCAAGCGUUAAUCGGAAUUACUGGGCGUAAAGCGCGCGUAGGUGGUUUGGUAAGAUGGAUGUGAAAUCCCCGGGCUCAACCUGGGAACUGCAUCCAUAACUGCCUGACUAGAGUACGGUAGAGGGUGGUGGAAUUUCCUGUGUAGCGGUGAAAUGCGUAGAUAUAGGAAGGAACACCAGUGGCGAAGGCGACCACCUGGACUGAUACUGACACUGAGGUGCGAAAGCGUGGGGAGCAAACAGGAUUAGAUACCCGAGUAGUCCCUGUCUCUUAACA